AUCAACUUUCGAUGGUAGGAUAGAGGCCUACCAUGGUGGUAACGGGUAACGGGGUGUUAGGGCACGACACCGGAGAGGGAGCCUGAGAAACGGCUACCACAUCCAAGGAUGGCAGCAGGCGCGCAAAUUACCCAAUCCCGACACGGGGAGGUAGUGACAAUAAAUAACAAUACGGGGUUCUUUCGGAUUUCGUAAUUGGAAUGAGUACAAUUUAAAUCUCUUAACGAGGAACAAUUGGAGGGCAAGUCUGGUGCCAGCAGCCGCGGUAAUUCCAGCUCCAAUAGCGUAUAUUAAAGUUGCUGCAGUUAAAAAGCUCGUAGUUGAAUUUCGGGACCAAUAUGUCGGUCGUGCCUCGGUACGUACUGGCAUCGUUGGUUUCUCCCUUCUGACGAACCAUGAUGUCAUUUAUUUGGUGUCGUGGGGAAUCAGGACUGUUACUUUGAAAAAAUUAGAGUGUUUAAAGCAGGCUCACGCUUGAAUACAUUAGCAUGGAAUAAUGAAAUAGGACGUUUGAUUCUAUUUUGUUGGUUUCUAGGAUCGACGUAAUGAUUAAUAGGGAUAGUUGGGGGCAUUAGUAUUCAAUUGUCAGANGUGAAAUUCUUGGAUUUAUUGAAGACUAACUACUGCGAAAGCAUUUGCCAAGGAUGUUUUCAUUAAUCAAGAACGAAAGUUANGGGAUCGAAGACGAUCAGAUACCGUCGUAGUCUUAACCAUAAACUAUGCCGACUAGGGAUCGGAUGAUGUUAAUUUUUUAAUGACUCAUUCGGCGCCUUACGGGAAACCAAAGUGUUUGGGUUC
This 798-nucleotide ribosomal RNA is filed under the name uncultured Glomus. RNAcentral describes it as "SSU rRNA". It matches the Rfam family "Eukaryotic small subunit ribosomal RNA", at positions 314 to 1114 of the family's 1831-position model. The record is from RNAcentral. Lineage: Eukaryota; Fungi; Glomeromycota; Glomeromycetes; Glomerales; Glomeraceae.